AACACUGUUAACCUGCGGUACCUGCGGAGGGAUCAUUACCGAGCGAGGACCCUCCGGGUCCAACCUCCCACCCGUGUUUAACGAACCUUGUUGCUUCGGCGGGCCCGCCUCACGGCCGCCGGGGGGCACUCCGCCCCCGGGCCCGCGCCCGCCGAAGACACCUGUGAACGCUGUCUGAAGUUGCAGUCUGAGACACUAGCUCAAUCAGUUAAAACUUUUAGCAAUGGAUCUCAGAUCGGA
This 240-nucleotide unclassified non-coding RNA is filed under the name soil metagenome. Its description in RNAcentral is "partial contains 5.8S ribosomal RNA, internal transcribed spacer 2, and large subunit ribosomal RNA". The record is from RNAcentral.